RNAcentral lists this ribosomal RNA (497 nucleotides) under uncultured bacterium. RNAcentral's name for it is "partial 16S ribosomal RNA". It matches the Rfam family "Bacterial small subunit ribosomal RNA", at positions 28 to 507 of the family's 1533-position model. The record is from RNAcentral.
GAUGAACGCUGGCGGCGUGCCUAAUACAUGCAAGUCGAGCGAACGGACGAGAAGCUUGCUUCUCUGAUGUUAGCGGCGGACGGGUGAGUAACACGUGGAUAACCUACCUAUAAGACUGGGAUAACUUCGGGAAACCGGAGCUAAUACCGGAUAAUAUUUUGAACCGCAUGGAUCAAAAGUUCAAGACGGUCUUGCUGUCACUUAUAGAUGGAUCCGCGCUGCAUUAGCUAGUUGGUAAGGUAACGGCUUACCAAGGCAACGAUGCAUAGCCGACCUGAGAGGGUGAUCGGCCACACUGGAACUGAGACACGGUCCAGACUCCUACGGGAGGCAGCAGUAGGGAAUCUUCCGCAAUGGGCGAAAGCCUGACGGAGCAACGCCGCGUGAGUGAUGAAGGUCUUCGGAUCGUAAAACUCUGUUAUUAGGGAAGAACAUAUGUGUAAGUAACUGUGAACGUCUUGACGGUACCUAAUCAGAAAGCCACGGCUAACUUCGUG